This 433-nucleotide ribosomal RNA is filed under the name uncultured bacterium. RNAcentral describes it as "partial 16S ribosomal RNA". It matches the Rfam family "Bacterial small subunit ribosomal RNA", at positions 29 to 507 of the family's 1533-position model. The record is from RNAcentral.
AACGAACGCUGGCGGCAUGCCUAACACAUGCAAGUCGAACGAGACCUUCGGGUCUAGUGGCGCACGGGUGCGUAACGCGUGGGAACCUGCCCUUAGGUUCGGAAUAACUCCCCGAAAGGGGUGCUAAUACCGGAUAAUGUCUUCGGACCAAAGAUUUAUCGCCUUUGUAUGGGCCCGCGUUGGAUUAGCUAGUUGGUAGGGUAAAAGCCUACCAAGGCGACGAUUCAUAGCUGGUCUGAGAGGAUGAUCAGCCACACUGGGACUGAGACACGGCCCAGAAUCCUACGGGAGGCAGCAGUGGGGAAUAGUGGACAAUGGGCGAAAUGCUGAACCAGCAAUGCCGGGUGAGUGAUGAAGGCCGUAGGGUUGUAAAGCUCUUUUACCCGGGAUGAUAAUGACAGUACCGGGAGAAUAAGCUCCGGCUAACUCCGUG